UGUUGGUUUAGUCUGACAUAGGUCAUUAUCAUAGUUCGGGUAGUGAGCACCGGCACUAAAUCCACUAGCCCCAGAAUGAGUAUUUGUAGUCACCCAGACAACUCCUAACCUCCUAAAUGGAACUAGAAACUAGGGAUCGAGUAUUGCUAACUAACAAGACGGAAAACGACUACCGCCAGAAUGCAUAUACUAAUACAAUAAAUAGAACUUUGUAACCCAAGCCUGACUUUCAUGUCUAUCAGAUUGAAAACACUGCUUCUAAUAGCGGAACUUGUAGCUGGGGAUCCGACUAAUGAGUAAGAGAACGCGCCUACUGCUGAUAAAGCUGAAACCGAUGUCAACAAGAACCAACCUCAAAAGUCAGAAAAAGGGAACCAACAUCCAAGUAUAAGAGUGAAAACACCAAGAGAGAGAGAAGAAUCAAAGAAUCAAAUAAAGGUGUUGAAACGCGGUGUGAAUGAGUGAAUCCUAACCUAGUGCCAGUUAAGUAUAAAGGUUAGGUAGAAGAAUAUGAAGCAUCAGCCCGCCCCUCUAACUAAGCUAAGCAGUUUCAACAGAGGGUCACUCGCUCGCUAACGGGAGUUUCAGUAGGAAUUUCAGAAUGGAGUUUCGGAAUGUAAGACAAGCCCCACUAGCGAACAUAGAAAUAGAAUCCCCUUUAAGUCAGCCACUCGAGUUUCCGUUUUCACUUUCACAGUUUGUAGUUAACAUUUGAUAGGACGCCUUAAAAGAAAAAGACCACCCAUGCGAGCAUAAUUCAUAGAGAAAGCAAUUGCUCAUGCGCUGAGACUAGUCGAUUUAUCAAAUGCCUAAUUAUGAGGAAGAAAUGGAAUGUCCCAUAUUAGAGGACCUUGAUCCACUCCUUUGGAACCAGUCCCGUACUACUAAAUGAAUAAUGCUGAUUUGUUAACCUGCAUCCCCUAGUCCUUGUCCAUAGCAAUAGAAAGAACGAGAAGAACUAAACUAAGUAAGGUAACCUAGUCCUUGUCCAUAGCAAUAGAAAGAACGAGAAGAACUAAACUAGGUAAGGUAACCUAGGUAAGGUAAGCAUUAUAACGAACGAGGUGAAGAAGAAGAACGCUAUACUUCCCCACAAUUCCAAUUGCAUCAAAUAAGAAGAUAUGGGGUGAGAUGUUAGAAUGAUAGUAGGAUGAGGUAAGGCUCACAUCUUAAGGGUUCGGUUCUUCAUCCCGAUUAUCCCGAUAGGGUAGGAAAGGUCGAGGUAAGCUCUUUUGAAAACUCAUUUGUCUAUGUCUAUUCAAAUCAAAACCAAGCACGGUCACUUCUUUAGGCAAUAAAAUCAGAGUUCAAUCCCAGUCUCUUGUGCUAUACGCAAAUAGAGAUUUCUGCCCCGUUGUUGGCAUAUCAGCUUCCAUAGUAUAAGUUAUGUUCCCAACCUUAGAAAACCUAUACUUAAGACCGGCAAUGCAGCUAAUCCGAGUGGAGACUUAGAGCUUUAUUCGUGAAGAGAAGGGUUCGGGAGCAAUUCCAAAGCUUCAACAACAGCUAGUUCUCCCCUUUGCACUAAAUAAUAUACGAAAGAUGUGGCAAAGAAGGCAAUCCCCAGUCUUCGCUCAAGCUCGAGCUCCUUUUUCUACAAAUAACUCCUAGAAAGUAUGGUGGCUAAGGAUCCUUCUUUAAUAGAAAGAUGGGUUCGACUUCUUAUCUUAUUUCGAUCUCUUUAUCCAACUCACGCACAGGCGCAUGUAAACUCCAACUAAGGACCUAAGUCAAGUGGAACCGUUGAACGCGCACCAUCCCUUGCCCGUGAAAAAGCGCUUUUUCUGCUAUGAAUGAAAGCCCUCUCUCUAUCUUAAGAAAUUACUACUUGUGGCCGGAAGGAUCGAAACCACAUUCGUCGCCCCUUUUCCAUACUUCUGGUUGGAUUCGCAUCACAUAUAGAGAAGCCAUAAAGAAACUAUUUGAAACAAGCCGUUCCCUAUCUCGAAAGGGGCCCAGCCCAGGUUUCUUCCUUAUUUGAUUAGUACUUAGUUAUCCGGGUUUCAUGCGUAAGUGAAGUCGACACUUGAAUAAAAGAAAGAGCAGUCUCACCUGAUCCGCCAUAUCCCUACGGAUAAUCAUAGCUUACAAGACCUAUUUCUUUCUCUUACGUGCCAGUACAGGGCCAAGAGUCAGGAUAUACGAGAGGUUGCCCAGCAACAAUACAUAUUUACGAUCUUGCUCGCUUUCUUCUUUUCAUUCCAUUCGAGCUUUGCCUUCAGACAUCUUCCGCAGCAACCCACUCUUGUAUAGUAAGUAGUUUCAUAGUCUCCCCAAUAGUAAGUAGUUUCAUAGUCUCCCCAAAGAAGUACUUUCGUGAACUGCACUUUGCCUAUUUCAUAUCCGCGGAUUAGGGCUAUAUUCCAAUCCAAGAGAGAUACGUGAAGUGGAUUGAGUGUACAAAAAAACACUUAAACAGACUCUAUAGAAGCCAUAGGCUAGACCCAAUAGACUCCAUUAGUGAAGG
RNAcentral lists this long non-coding RNA (2467 nucleotides) under Musa acuminata (dwarf banana). RNAcentral's name for it is "long non-coding RNA (MACU_LNC007524)". Lineage: Eukaryota; Viridiplantae; Streptophyta; Magnoliopsida; Zingiberales; Musaceae. The record is from RNAcentral.